RNAcentral lists this unclassified non-coding RNA (1841 nucleotides) under Hevea brasiliensis (rubber tree). Lineage: Eukaryota; Viridiplantae; Streptophyta; Magnoliopsida; Malpighiales; Euphorbiaceae. The record is from RNAcentral.
CUUUGCAAUUUCAUCUUCAUUCAUUGUAGCUGAGCUUACCUCCCCCCCAACCCCCCGGUUAGUAAUUUUAACUCGUUUAUUAUUGUAUUUUGUAAUUUGAAUGAUCAAGCUUAUGUAGCUUUUGUGAAUCUGAUUUUUUUAACUAAGUUCUUUUUGGAGCUUGGAGGGUGGAAGAUGAGUAAGUAAAGGGAUUAGUAGUGUCUCUUUUUUUAGCUACGGGAAGUAUGACGACAAACAAAUAGAACUUAAUCAUGCUCAUUGGUGUAUUGAGUUGUGUAUAUUGAAGUUGCUAGAGUAAAGAAACGAGGGCAAACUUAGGAGUUAAAAAAAGAAUUAGUGGUCUUAAUGGAGGCAAAUGAUCCACGUAGCUGAGUCUAACUAGUUUAGAAUUAAGAUUUAGUUGGGUUGAUGUACAUUUCUAGUUGUUCUUAAUUCCAAGGUGAUUUAUGGUUGUUGAACUGUUCAAAUAUUGUCAAAACUCAAAAUCAAUAGUGAGCUCUUUAUUGACCAGACAAAAUAUAAUUAGUCUUUAACUUUCAUUGCUUGUCUUGCUUUAACCAAUGGCUUCAAUUAUUUGUCUUAUUACUCUGUAAUGGCUGGGGAUGGGAAUGAACAAUUUCGUUGAGUCAGUGCCUAUUGUGUUGCUGUCGGGCAAUGAAAUUUCUCAAAAAGCUUGCAUACUUACAAAUGACAACUAAACACAUUGUCCUUUGUGUGGUUGUAAUGGGCUUCGCCUUGAUCAUGUCUAUCACGUCCCAGUAGACUUGAUUAUUGGAAUGUACUUUAAUCUCUAUUGACACCCGCAUCGAGCUUCAUGAGGGUUUAAAAACACUAUUGACAUGUUACCCAUCUUACAUGGACAUGUGAUUGGUCUCUCUGGACUAUAAGUCUGUCAAUCAAUUGUGUAUUAAUCCCUUUUCUUAUCUUCUCUAUAUUUCUUUCUUGUUGAGGGAAAACAAGUGGAGGAGAAGAAGAGAAUUUUUAUACUUGUUACAGAGGUAGAUGAACUAAAAGCUUGUGAAUUUGGACAGUUCUUUAUGAUCCAAUAUUUCAUAAUUUAGCCUCUGUUUGGGAUGAAGUUUUAUAGAGUAAUGGGAAGCUUUUUCAAAGUUUCAAAACCUUGGAUAUUUGUUUGGGAGAACCCAUGAUUUUUCUAAAAUAAGAUUUUUGGAGGUUUUUAAAAAUCUUACCAAAAAAAUCUAUUUUCCAACCCUCCAAAUUGAUGGGUUGAGAAGGUUUUCUUUUAAAAUAUUCAAAUAUCUUGAAGAACUCUUUUCAUCUCAAACAAUAAAAAAUUAAAAGAAUAAAAAAUAAAGAAAAAUUUUACUUUAGAAAGCCUUGCUUUAAAUAACUUUAUCUCAUCUCAAGCAGAGUGUUAGGGGAAUGGGUCACUAGGAAGACUUCUUUAGAGAACAACAAACACCGGAGACAAAAGGGCAAAGAGGUGAACUGGAACUGCUAUAUCCAUCUGAUCCCCCAGCAACGCUCUCAUAAGAGAAGGCACUCUUUUUGCAAAAUAAUGUGUAUCUUUUUUAACAAGAUAUCUGUGGUUAAUUAGAGAAAUGUGCAAUUUUUCUAAAGAAUGAUCCAAUAGAUCCACAAGAACACAGUUGAUUCUGAUUUGUCAAAAAUCCAUUACAAAUUUGUGUCAUAAAUCUCAGUGGCUCCAUAAUGUUCAGUUUAGAGUUGCUGACAUUUAUCAUUUUAUCUUUUGACUGAUUUUGGCUAUGUACCUUUGGUUCUUCAGGCUGAUGUUUGCCAUGCUUAUCAACUCUUGAGGAAAGGUGGACUGAAGGAGGAAAAUAUCGUGGUUUUCAUGUAUGAUGACAUUGCUUAUAAUG